RNAcentral lists this non-coding RNA (49 nucleotides) under Trypanosoma brucei brucei. Lineage: Eukaryota; Euglenozoa; Kinetoplastea; Trypanosomatida; Trypanosomatidae. The record is from RNAcentral.
AUAAUAACGAACAUCUGAUGCUAAGCUAUAGUGAGUUAAAUGAUAUAAU